Long non-coding RNA from Myotis brandtii (Brandt's bat), 1054 nucleotides. RefSeq lists it as uncharacterized. The transcript has 4 exons. The record is from RefSeq and is a predicted model, not a curated record. NCBI's taxonomy places the organism in Eukaryota, Metazoa, Chordata, Mammalia, Chiroptera, Vespertilionidae.
UGCUUUCCAUGUUUGUGUCAUUUUUCUGGUGAGGACUCCCUAUUUUGUGAUCUUCAUUAGCCCAGAAAGUCACUAGAAUCUCUUAUUAAUCCUUCCUGCACAUCUCUUAUUUUCAGACAAUUGCAUGGAACCAACAUGUGAUGUGAAACACAUUUUUGUAAUGGGACUUCUCCCUGUCACCACAUUCAACAUUCAUUUCCUCCCCUUUUCUCACUUUUCAGGUUGUUGACAUAAAAUCGAUGGUGAUGAGGCCUGUUCUGAUCAGAGUGUAUCUAUAAAAGGAGAGUCGCAGGUCAGGGCACCCAGAAGAACCCUCUGUAGAGAAGGGCAGAAGGAGAGAAACAUCAAUCUUCUGCCUCCCUCACGCCCACCACUGCAGACCCAGGCAGGCAUGUGCCCUGAUUUGGAAUCAAACCAAUGACCUUUCAGUGAAUGUGAUCAUCCCCAACAAAAUAAGACACAGACAACAGCACCACUGGAGGCCCCAGCACCAAUAUUUGCAAUGAUCAGUCAGUGAUUGAGAUUCUAAUUCCACCUGAUGGGCCUGGAAAAGCUCCAGCGCUGGGUCACAACUAGGACCAGGCUUCAGAGGCACUGUCCCCAUGGUGCAGUGGUUUGUCUGAAGCUUGUUGAGCAGCAACAGUCAGUAUUGAGGCCUAUGUGCCUCCCAGACUCCGUUUUGCUUGAAGACUUCUACUCAGCCUCACUCCAUUUACCCUCCAUCCUUACAUGCUGGUACCUGUCAGAUCCUGAAACCCAGGUCACUGAGUCCAGAACAGUGAGUUGCUUGUGGGUGAUACCUGUUGUGAUGGGUGAAAGAGGGUGACAGGCUUCAAUGAGUGUAAGAUUGUGGUUGGUGUGGCUGAGCUGGGAGGAUUCGGGAAUCCUGGGCUUGUUUUGUAUCUAAAGGCAACAGAGAAGACGAGGCAAAGUAUUUGGUGAGAAGUUUCAGUUUAAUUUUCAGGAUCCUAGGGCCAUCGAUGGUGGAGAAUAAAAGAGGGACAUUGUCUGAAAUAGGGUUUUAAACUCUUCCCAACUGCUGGGAAUGAAACUA